Cyanistes caeruleus (blue tit) is the source of this 1530-nucleotide long non-coding RNA. RefSeq lists it as uncharacterized. Lineage: Eukaryota; Metazoa; Chordata; Aves; Passeriformes; Paridae. The record is from RefSeq and is a predicted model, not a curated record.
AUCGUUUUCUGAAAGGUUUUUCUCGGGACAAGGGUAAAAACCAGCUCUCUUUGUCCUAUUGCUUUAUCCAUUACAAAGAGAAUGAGGGACGGAUCUCUGGAGACAAGUGUAUCAAGGUUAAGGAAUAAUGAAUAAUCAAUAAGGCCACGUCUCCACCAGAGAAAAAUGUUGCAGCCUGAACAUGAGAGCUAAAGAAGAUUUAAAUACAGUUUUGUGCCAUCCACUCCAGCUUUGCUAAUAUGAGCUGUGAGUCAGCAUCCUCUUCUAAAUCACUGCAAUUGCCACAUCCUCCAAGAACGAGCCCUGCAAUGCUUCCCACGGCCCCUGGGAGCUCAGGCUUCUGGGAAGAGGCAAAAGCCAGGACUGAAGGAAAAGAAUUACUGACACUGCUCAGGCACUCACCCAACAAUGGCACCUCUUAAAAUUGUGCAUUUUGAAUCAGCAAGUCCCUUCCAAGGGGGGACUUGCAGAGAAGCCAAGCAGAGCGCCUUCCAACACUGGCAUUAGUGUUAUAUAUGAAUAUUUAUUCUAUAUAUUGAACGGAUAAACCACUAGAACUGUCUCUGUGGAAAAAGGGGGAAUUAGCUCUCCAAAACUGCACAUUAUGCUGGAGACUAAAAUGUUUUGGAGAGAGGGAUGGUGUUUCCAGUUCUGCCACUGACCUGCUCUGGAAGUGACCAGGGUCUUUGCCCCCUGAGCAACAGGUAACAAAUGUGCCCUGCAGUGAGACAAAGAGACCAAAAAAAAACUUGUGACUCUCCAAGGUAAAACUAUUCUAUUCCAAAAUCACAUUGCUAUGCAGCACUCACUCCUCUGCCUAUUUAAGCUGAAUGUAAAUGCAGGCUGCUAUAAUCUUGUAUUAUAAGAAAAACACUAAAAAAACACCCAAAAAGACAUAACAACCUCCACUACAGAUACAAUCAAAACAGCCUUUAAUUAUUUGCAGGCAGUACUUUGCCACGUACCACAGUUAUUCAUUUAUACUUAAAAAAAUAAUAACCCUACUCUAUUUGAUAGUUGGUGAUACUGAAUUAAUAAUUUGAGCAAGUCAGGAGGAAGUUAAUGUAAUCCUCAAUUUGCUUUACAUCUUCAGAGUCACCUACGGCACUUUACAAGGCAGGUAAUAUUAUCACAGCUGGACACCUUGGUAAUCUUCUGAGCUCUUUCUCCUUUUCAAAAUAAAUGUUACAGAUUUACCUUGAUACUGCUAAAAUAGCUGUUCAUUUACUUCAAGAGAUGAAAGAAAGCAGGUGAAUUAACAGAACCCCAUCACACUGCACACAAAUUCCAGCAGGGCACAACACAAAUGGGAGGUCCAAGGCUGCAGAUGGACCAGCCACUUCUCCCUUUUCAAGGGGAGGUUUGGGUCCAGCUCCUGCAACCUGGCUUUUUGUUUGCCCUGUGAUCCAAAGGAUUUGUAGAAGAUGGCAGAUGCUCCAUAAGAGCAGACUUGCUACUUGGAAACCUCAGCUUGACUCUUUGAGGCUGAAACUGAAAAGAGAGGUGGCAAGGACCCCCAAAUUUAACUAC